Long non-coding RNA from Rhipicephalus sanguineus (brown dog tick), 551 nucleotides. RefSeq lists it as uncharacterized. The record is from RefSeq and is a predicted model, not a curated record. Lineage: Eukaryota; Metazoa; Arthropoda; Arachnida; Ixodida; Ixodidae. The transcript is spliced from 3 exons.
UUACACAGUUCAAACGGCCCGAGUACUUUAAUUUAGGAACAUAACUUCAAUGAUUGACAACACCUCAUUGCAGACCCACCAUCUGUGCAAUCACCCGAGGAAGGCAGGGCCUCAGCUGAAAUGGGUUCUCCCGUUGGAGUUGUAGUGGAUGCCUCAUAUUAUGUAAAGUUUUCUGAAGCUGGUGUUCAAGCCACCACUUCGACAGCUGAAGCUUCAGUAAAUACCACUUCAUUGCUAAAGGAUGCUGAAACUCAAACUGACAUCACAGGCAGUGUUCUGAAGAGUUUUGAAGCUGAUAACCAGGUCCUACGCACCGAGUUACAGGAGGUGAAGGGCUCUCUGGACACACUUCGGCUGUUGAAAGCUUCUUUGGAGCAUGACAACACCCGUGUGCAAUUUUACACGGGCCUACCAAGCUUCACAGUUCUGAUUUCACUGUUCACACUUGUCGAAAGUAGUGUGCCACACAGCCCAAACAAUGCUCUUGCGAAAUUCCAAGAAUUUGUACUCACACUAAUGAGGCUGCGAUUGGGAGUGGCCUUGCAGGACCU